Molecule: ribosomal RNA, 517 nt
Filed under: Buathra laborator
Lineage: Eukaryota; Metazoa; Arthropoda; Insecta; Hymenoptera; Ichneumonidae
Description: partial 16S large subunit ribosomal RNA
Rfam family: Bacterial large subunit ribosomal RNA (bases 389-517)
Source: RNAcentral
ACAUGUCUUUAAGAUUAUAAUUUAAAGUCAAAUCUGCUCCAUGAUUAAAAAUUAAAUAGCUGCAGUAUUUUGACUGUACAAAGGUAGCAUAAUCAAUAGUUUUUUAAUUAAAAGCUGGAAUGAAAGAUUUAAUAAGGUAAAUAUUGUCUCAAUUUUAAUAAAGUUAAAAUUUUUUUUUUAGUAAAAAUACUAAAUUGUAUUUAAAAGACGAGAAGACCCUAUAGACUUUAAUAUUUUAAUUUUAAUUAUUUUAAAUAAAAAUUUUAUUUAGGUGUAAAAAUAUUUGAUUGGGGAAAUUAUUAAAUUAAUUAAAUUUUAAUUAUUUUUAAACAAAAAUUAUUGAUUUUAUGAUCUUGAUUUUUAAAUUGUAAGAAUAAAUUACCUUAGGGAUAACAGCGUAAUUUUUUUUGAGAGAUCAUAUUGAUAAAAAAGUUUGCGACCUCGAUGUUGAAUUAAGAUAAAAUUUUAAUGGAGAAGUUAAAAAUUUUUGGUCUGUUCGACCAUUAAAAUCUUACGU